CGGAGCGUAGCGCAGUCUGGUAGCGCACCUGGUUUGGGACCAGGGGGUCGCCGGUUCGAUCCCGGCCGCUCCGACCA
RNAcentral lists this transfer RNA (77 nucleotides) under Achromobacter xylosoxidans. RNAcentral describes it as "tRNA-Pro". It matches the Rfam family "tRNA". From Rfam's summary of the family: Transfer RNA (tRNA) molecules are approximately 80 nucleotides in length. Their secondary structure includes four short double-helical elements and three loops (D, anti-codon, and T loops). Further hydrogen bonds mediate the characteristic L-shaped molecular structure. tRNAs have two regions of fundamental functional importance: the anti-codon, which is responsible for specific mRNA codon recognition, and the 3' end, to which the tRNAs corresponding amino acid is attached (by aminoacyl-tRNA synthetases). tRNAs cope with the degeneracy of the genetic code in two manners: having more than one tRNA (with a specific anti-codon) for a particular amino acid; and 'wobble' base-pairing, i.e. permitting non-standard base-pairing at the 3rd anti-codon position. Lineage: Bacteria; Pseudomonadati; Pseudomonadota; Betaproteobacteria; Burkholderiales; Alcaligenaceae. The record is from RNAcentral. RNAcentral also lists the same sequence under 1 other name.